Daphnia magna is the source of this 1899-nucleotide long non-coding RNA. RefSeq lists it as uncharacterized. The record is from RefSeq and is a predicted model, not a curated record. Lineage: Eukaryota; Metazoa; Arthropoda; Branchiopoda; Diplostraca; Daphniidae. The transcript is spliced from 2 exons.
UCACAUAAGGAAUAUGUUUAAGAGGAUAAUUUUGCGUGACAUGGUGAAGUGAUAAGGUGCUCUUGUAACGGACAACAAUUUUUGUUUAUUUUCCAUUUCCUCACACAACACGCACAUCAUGAAAAUAAAAAAAAUAAAAUAACGAUUUCACCAAAAGAGAAAAAAACUUUCACGAGGAUGAUUUUUUUUUCCUGAAUUUGGUGGAAUAGAAACAGUUGUAAAGAGAUAGAGAGAGUGAAGAAGAAAGAUGUAAAGACCAAAAUUGUUUCUCGCAGGGUGUGUUUACCAAAUAAUUCCCCCACAAAACCAAACAGACCAAAAUACAUAAUGUUUGUUUCUCAAUUAAGUUGAAAUCAUCCUAUAGUAGAAUUUCCUAAUUAUGUAUAUAUAUAUGCUGUUCGGAGUACAAUACCUUCGUGACAUUUAUGCCCACAGACCCUCCCAAAAGUUUCAGAACGCAUGGCAGUAACGAGAGAGAAAGAUGAGAAAAAUAUCAAACAAUGAAAGGGCGUACAGAACCGCAAAAAAUAUAAAAUAAUAGUUUUUCUUAUUAUUCCCAAGAUAUUACACCAACAAAACAAAACAAAAACGAAUCCUUAAUAAAUUUUUUUUUUUUUUUCGUCUGUCAAUUAAAGGGAAGAUGGAGGACGAAACAAGUAUGGGUUAAUUCUGUUUGCUGCAAAACUCUGAUUAUAUGGCACACGAAUUUCGCACAUCAAACGACGGCGGUCACAUUAGGGAGAGUUAAUCAUAUAAAAAAAAUUGUGUGUAACGGAAGUAGACGGGCGGGAAAUUCAAAUGAAUCGUAUGGGGGAAACGGAGGACUAUAAACGAAUCCCAAACAAUUUCCCAGAAAAAAAAAGAAAAAUGGUCCUAAAAACUACAUUUUAUAUAAAUAAAUUCAUGUAUAUAAUCUAAUAAUAUUAUAUACAUAUAUCUGAGACAACGGCGAUAUGCACCGCUGUAACGAGGAUCGUUGUGAUGUGUCUAUCAGCAAAGCAAUCAUUUAAAAAAAUUUAAUGAUGGCAUUUUUUAGAACUGUCCUUUGCUUUUAAUUUUAAGAGACACUCAAUUUUUCUUUUCUAGGUAAUUUUGCCUAACUAGUGGACGAUCUUCAACGUCGUUGCAUGCCGUGUCUGAUCUCUCGAAUGGAUGCAAAUUAGAAAUGAAAGUAAAAAGCAAACAAGAGCGACAAUGGACAAAAUAAAAUGUUCGUACUCACUACACGCCAACUCAAACGGGAAGAACGGAUGUAAAGGAGGAAGCUCUUUAAUUCAAGAGAUUCAUAGAGAAGCAUUUCCUCGAACUGUUCUAGGAGAAUCAGGGAAAGGUGAUACAAAUGAUAGACUACAAAAUUUCAACUCCAUAAAAUGAAGAAAUCAACGAUACAACUAAAUACAGUACAACAACGCAUAAUAUAAUGUAAUACAGCACUCGAAAUUAUAGAGGAAAAUCAUAAUCAGCUACUCCCAAAUGUAAUGAAUGGACGUAACAAUAAAAGUGCAAUUUCCCUAUUCUGUACCUUUGUUUGACUCGACAUACCUUUUCUUCCUGUUGAGGAAACGUCAUCGUUUCGGGUAUUAGGGUAAGGAGGAAAAUAGAAAUAAAAAAAAAUAUAUAUAUCUUAUCCAUCCAGUAUCCCAGAGACAUGUCGGAGUGGUAAAAUAGAAAUGAGCGGUCAAGAUUUAGUUUUUUAAAUCACCGUUUUAAAAAAAAAAAGAACAGAAGAAACCCAAGGAAAAAGCAACAUAAUAAUGCGCGAUGUAUAUAUAUAUAUAUAUUGUGGGGCUAAUACAAUCAGGUGGUGAAAUAUUUAGGAGGGGAAAAAAUCAGACAACCAAGUACAAGAAAAAAGGUGAAAAAAAAAAAAAUAAUAAUAAGAGAUGUGCGCGUCUUUCA